AUGGCUUCCUCCACUGCUCUCUCCCCGGUGGCCUUCAAGUCCUCCUUCUCGCCGCUCCCCUCCAGACCAGCUCGUACUAGCAUAAAUGUACAAGGCGCAUUCUGUUUGCCAUGUUCCACUUGGAAAAGAGCUAAUAAUAGAUCGUUCCGGGUAUACAGUUUAUUUGGAGGAAAGAAGGAGAAAGAUGAGAAUGGUGACGAGGCACCAUCAAAGGGAGGAAUCUUUGGAAACAUUGGAAAUAUGCAAAACCUUUAUGAAACUGUGAAGAAGGCCCAAAUGGUUGUCCAAGUGGAGGCUGUGCGGGUGCAAAAGGAGCUUGCAGCGACUGAGAUUGAGGGUUAUUGUGAAGGCGAACUAAUCAAGGUUACACUAUCUGGGAACCAACAACCUAUAAAUGUUGAAAUAACGGAAGCUGCAAUGGAGUUGGGCGCUGAAAAAGUCUCCGAGCUGGUCAAUGAAGCCUACAAGGAUGCACACCAGAGGAGCGUUCAGGCCAUGAAGGAAAGGAUGGCUGAUCUAGCGCAGAGCAUAGGAAUGCCUGCAGGGCUCGGCGACGGUCUCAAGUGA
RNAcentral lists this ribosomal RNA (567 nucleotides) under Triticum aestivum (bread wheat). RNAcentral describes it as "partial small subunit ribosomal RNA". The record is from RNAcentral. Lineage: Eukaryota; Viridiplantae; Streptophyta; Magnoliopsida; Poales; Poaceae.